This 254-nucleotide ribosomal RNA is filed under the name uncultured bacterium. RNAcentral's name for it is "partial 16S ribosomal RNA". It matches the Rfam family "Bacterial small subunit ribosomal RNA", at positions 524 to 777 of the family's 1533-position model. The record is from RNAcentral.
UACGUAGGGUGCGAGCGUUUGUCCGGAAUUACUGGGCGUAAAGAGCUCGUAGGUGGUUUGUCGCGUUGUUCGUGAAAACCGGGGGCUUAACCCUCGGCGUGCGGGCGAUACGGGCAGACUUGAGUACUGCAGGGGAGACUGGAAUUCCUGGUGUAGCGGUGGAAUGCGCAGAUAUCAGGAGGAACACCAGUGGCGAAGGCGAGUCUCUGGACGACACCUGACACUGAGGCACGAAAGCUAGGGAGCAAACCAGG